GCCUCUGAUGAUGAUGAAAAAAAUAAAACUUUCGUUCUUCUGAAAAGACCCAUGUGGAAAAUCUAUGGAGACCUGAACUGAAGGGCC
This is a small nucleolar RNA of Cornus florida, 87 nucleotides long. RefSeq annotates it as small nucleolar RNA Z159/U59. The record is from RefSeq and is a predicted model, not a curated record. NCBI's taxonomy places the organism in Eukaryota, Viridiplantae, Streptophyta, Magnoliopsida, Cornales, Cornaceae. The transcript has a single exon.